GAAAAAGUGGCGCCUCCUGCACGUCAAAAGUGCCAUGAAUUCACAGGUGGGGAGGAGGAUGUGCCCCUUAAAGCUACACAUGACCAAGACUGCCAAGCACCUGGAGUUCACUUCGUUGCUAGAGGAACCCUCCUGUGAGUUGACCCACAUCUGUUCUGGAGAAACAGUGGACUAGCUCUCCACACACUGGAAGACCGGCAGCAUUCUGGCUUCAAAGUGAAACUGAGCAUGCCCUAGCACAACAGCUAGCAGGAUGGUGUGGGGCAGAAAACCUGGGUAACUUUAAAACUGGUACUUAGAACUUCAUGGAUGAAACCAAUGAAAGGCACAUCUCCUUGACAAUCCUGAAUAAAGCACAUCAGUAAUUUU
This is a long non-coding RNA of Varanus komodoensis (Komodo dragon), 369 nucleotides long. RefSeq lists it as uncharacterized. The record is from RefSeq and is a predicted model, not a curated record. Lineage: Eukaryota; Metazoa; Chordata; Lepidosauria; Squamata; Varanidae. The transcript has 2 exons.